CCUACGGGAGGCAGCAGUGGGGAAUAUUGCACAAUGGGCGCAAGCCUGAUGCAGCGACGCCGCGUGAGCGAUGAAGGCCUUGGGGUCGUAAAGCUCUGUCCUAAGGGAAGAAUAAUGACGGUACCUUAGGAGGAAGCCCCGGCUAACUACGUGCCAGCAGCCGCGGUAAUACGUAGGGGGCGAGCGUUAUCCGGAAUCACUGGGCGUAAAGGGUGCGUAGGUGGCCAUGCAAGUCAGGAGUUAAAUCCCUCGGCUCAACCGAGGUACGCUCUUGAAACUGUAGGGAUUGAGUGCAGGAGAGGAGAGCGGUAGUCGUAGUGUAGCGGUGAAAUGAGUAGAUAUUAGGAGGAACACCAGUGACGAAGGCGGCUCUCUGGAAUGCAACUGACGCUGAGGCACGAAAGCGUGGGGUGCGAACAGGAUUAGAUACCCGAGUAGUC
This 440-nucleotide ribosomal RNA is filed under the name uncultured bacterium. Its description in RNAcentral is "bacterial SSU rRNA". It matches the Rfam family "Bacterial small subunit ribosomal RNA", at positions 338 to 795 of the family's 1533-position model. The record is from RNAcentral.